Molecule: ribosomal RNA, 404 nt
Filed under: uncultured bacterium
Lineage: Bacteria
Description: bacterial SSU rRNA
Rfam family: Bacterial small subunit ribosomal RNA
Source: RNAcentral
GCCAGACUCCUACGGGAGGCAGCAGUGAGGAAUAUUGGUCAAUGGCCGCAGGGCUGAACCAGCCAAGUCGCGUGAGGGAUGACGGUCCUAUGGAUUGUAAACCUCUUUUGUCGGGGAACAAAGGCGCCCACGGGUGGGCGGAUGAGUGUACCCGAAGAAAAAGCAUCGGAUAACUCCGUGCCAGCAGCCGCGGUAAUACGGAGGAUGCGAGCGUUAUCCGGAUUUAUUGGGUUUAAAGGGUGCGUAGGCGGACAGUCAAGUCAGCGGUAAAAAUGCGGUGCUCAACGCCGUACAGCCGUUGAAACUGGCAGUCUUGAGUGGGCGAGAAGUAUGCGGAAUGCGUGGUGUAGCGGUGAAAUGCAUAGAUAUCACGCAGAACUCCGAUUGCGCAGGCAGCAUACCGG